UAAUACGUAGGGUGCAGGCGUUAAUCGGAAUUACUGGGCGUAAAGCGUGCGCAGGCGGUUUGCUAAGACAGGUGUGAAAUCCCCGGGCUUAACCUGGGAACUGCGCUUGUAACUGGCAAGCUAGAGUGUGGCAGAGGGGGGUGGAAUUCCAGGUGUAGCAGUGAAAUGCGUAGAGAUCUGGAGGAACACCGAUG
RNAcentral lists this ribosomal RNA (194 nucleotides) under uncultured bacterium. Its description in RNAcentral is "partial 16S ribosomal RNA". It matches the Rfam family "Bacterial small subunit ribosomal RNA", at positions 521 to 714 of the family's 1533-position model. The record is from RNAcentral.